GUCGAGCGAGAAGACGUAGCAAUACGUUUGUAAAGCGGCGAACGGGUGAGGAAUACAUGGGUAACCUACCCUCGAGUGGGGAAUAACUAGCCGAAAGGUUAGCUAAUACCGCGUACGCUCCUUGCACUUCGGUUCAGGGAGGAAAGCGAUACCGUGGGUAUCGCGCUCUUGGAUGGGCUCAUGUCCUAUCAGCUUGUUGGUGAGGUAACGGCUCACCAAGGCUUCGACGGGUAGCUGGUCUGAGAGGACGAUCAGCCACACUGGCACUGCGACACGGGCCAGACUCCUACGGGAGGCAGCAGUAAGGAAUAUUGCGCAAUGGGCGAAAGCCUGACGCAGCGACGCCGCGUGGGGGAUGAAGGUCUUCGGAUUGUAAACCCCUUUCGGGAGGGAAGAUGGAACGAGCAAUCGUUCGGACGGUACCUCCAGAAGCAGCCACGGCUAACUUCGUGCCAGCAGCCGCGGUAAUACGAAGGUGGCAAGCGUUAUUCGGAUUUACUGGGCGUACAGGGAGCGUAGGCGGUUCGGUAAGCCCUCUGUGAAAUCUUCAGGCUUAACCUGGAAAAGUCGGAGGGGACUGCUGGGCUAGAGGACGGGAGAGGAGCGCGGAAUUCCCGGUGUAGCGGUGAAAUGCGUAGAGAUCGGGAGGAAGGCCGGUGGCGAAGGCGGCGCUCUGGAACGUUUCUGACGCUGAGGCUCGAAAGCGUGGGGAGCAAACAGGAUUAGAUACCCUGGUAGUCCACGCCUUAAACUAUGAAUACUAAGUGUCGGCGGUUUACCGCC
This 783-nucleotide ribosomal RNA is filed under the name uncultured Nitrospira sp. RNAcentral's name for it is "bacterial SSU rRNA". It matches the Rfam family "Bacterial small subunit ribosomal RNA", at positions 61 to 841 of the family's 1533-position model. The record is from RNAcentral. Lineage: Bacteria; Pseudomonadati; Nitrospirota; Nitrospiria; Nitrospirales; Nitrospiraceae.